CGUGUAGGCGGCUGCGCAAGUCGGAUGUGAAAUCCCGUGGCUCAACCACGGAAGUGCACCCGAAACUGCGUAGCUUGAGUCUCGGAGAGGAAGGUGGAAUGCUUGGUGUAGAGGUGAAAUUCGUAGAUAUCAAGCGGAACACCGGUGGCGAAGGCGGCCUUCUGGACGAUGACUGACGCUGAGACGCGAAAGCGUGGGGAGCAAACAGGAUUAGAUACCCUGGUAGUCCACGCCGUAAACGAUGAGUGCUAGGUGUCACGGGCUUUGACCCCUGUGGUGCCGUAGCUAACGCAGUAAGCACUCCGCCUGGGGAGUACGGCCGCAAGGCUAAA
Molecule: ribosomal RNA, 332 nt
Filed under: uncultured Chondromyces sp.
Lineage: Bacteria; Pseudomonadati; Myxococcota; Polyangiales; Polyangiaceae
Description: bacterial SSU rRNA
Rfam family: Bacterial small subunit ribosomal RNA
Source: RNAcentral